Marmota monax (woodchuck) is the source of this 2979-nucleotide long non-coding RNA. RefSeq lists it as uncharacterized. The transcript has 2 exons. The record is from RefSeq and is a predicted model, not a curated record. NCBI's taxonomy places the organism in Eukaryota, Metazoa, Chordata, Mammalia, Rodentia, Sciuridae.
UAGUUGUUUGACUUUUUGUAAUGACAGAGUUACUUACCCCAUGCUAUUGUGUCUUCUAUCACAUCUUCUAGUACAGUUAAAUCCAUAAUUAAUAUAUUAUUAGGAUAGUAAGAUAAAUGUUGUUUACUGAGGUUCCAAUAUGCACAUUUCCUGUCUUGUGGGAACCUUUUGUUUCUCCUGGAGUUUUUAAUUGCCACAUUUUUUUCUAGCCACUUGGAUACUUUUCUAACCACUUUAAAAAAAUAUUGUCCUCAAAUGUUCAAUUUUAAUCAUUUAUUUUAUUAGUCUUCUUUCUUUCCCCAAGAGCCUUCAAUUCUGGAUACUUCCAUAAACCCACCAAAUCUGGACUGUUCCAUCUUUAGGCCUGUGGCAUAUUCUUCUCGCUGGGCCUUCUCCUUCACUCUCCUAGCCUGGGCCCAAUGCUCCUUUGCUCUUUCGUCUUGCUCAUUUUGCCAGAGGUUAUCCCAGUAGUUACUUAAUAAAGGUGCAAAGAAGGUUAAUUUUAUGAAUGCUGAUAUAUAUGAAAAUGUCUUUAGUCUAUCUCUGCACAUGACUAAUACUUUGCUAAAUCUAGAAUUCCAGGUUGAAAAUAAUCUUCCCUCAGGAAUUUUUAGGUGUCCGUGUCUUCAGGAAUUACAAGGCGCUAUAGCACUGAUCCCAUGGUGUUACAGUCUCUGCCCUGAAGUUCAAGAUUCACAGAGGUCGCUGGAUACGCGCCCCCUACGAUCCAUUCCCCGAUUGCCCGACACAGCACUUGGUGCUUCAGAAUGACCGCCCCUCCUCGCACCUUUAAAGGUCUGCCUGGGUGGUUCCUGCGUAUCAUUACAUCCCAGACAACGUUGUCUUCGUAAAAAGUCAUCUUGGGCUCUGGCCUCCAAGACAAGAACUCCUUCAGAACUGUGCUUCCCAAGUGGACUUCCGAUCCAGAUGGGGGACGGCCACUUCUGUCACCAAAGGAGAGCGAAAGAUUACUCUCCCACAGAUACGAACUCUUCAGUCUCCCGAAUGCCCCAGAAGAGGGGCCUCUCUCUAAAGCUCCUGAGGAGAAGGACGAGGUCAGCUGUCCUUGAUGCCCUGUGUCCCCAGGUGUGUGUGGUGGGGCUGGUGCAGUUUAGGGGCCGGGGCUGAGCCCUGUUAGCCCCCUCCCACCAUUGCUCCCUGGUGUUCCAGGGUGACACACAGAGCCAUCCCUUCUUCCUUUAUAUCCUCCCCUUGAUCUUGUGAUGCCCACAGCGUGUCCCAGCAGCCCAGGAGCUCCCUGUGGGUCCCUGUGCCAGGGACAAUGCUCACUGACAAUGCCUGUGCUUGCUCCCUGGGUCUCAUCUGCAAAGAUCACCUCGAAUCAUUGGCAGGGCCCUCCUUAGUGGGCAGGAGACAGGGGACAUUGGAGACAACUACCUGCCUACCAUGGACCCACAGCCUGUGGUCUGGAGGGCCACCCUGUCUUCCAAAGCCGGGUGAGACAGUUGUGACUGAGCUCAGGGCCAGCAUGCUCUAGAGACCCUUUUCAGAAGGCACCAUGAAAGCUAGAGCCAGCUGGGACAUAGGAAUUGUCCCUGAGUGACCCAUGGGCUCACUUCCUUCAAAAAAAGGGUAUUGAAACAAAAAGGCCCCGGAGGGGCAGGUCCCUGGAGCCCAGAUCCCUUUCUGUCUGCACGCAGCCGAGGCCGGUCAUGGGACAAGUCUUUCCGGCUUUGCAUCAGAUACUUCAAGAAAAGAGGCCAGAAACCUGUCCCAGGCCUCGCCCUCCCCUUAGAUCUGGGAGUCAGUGCCAUGGUGCUGGGUGCAGCAGCAGGACUGCUGUUCCAACUAACCAGCCCACCAGGGGACGGCCACUUGCGAUUUUAAGCAUUAAUUCACACAAUCUUCACAACAGCUGCAUGACACACUCUGCAUUUCCCAGAACACUGAAGCUCAGAGAGGUGAAGUGACUAGCCCCGCAUCACACAGCUGUUCUCGGUGGAAGGGCCUGAUUUCAGAGCCCAGCUCUAUUCAGAGUCUCAUGCUGGAGGAUCCUUGGUAUGCUCUUCUGGUACAGGGUGGUGGCUGACCUGAUUAAUGCUUGACAGGGUCCCCUCCAAAGCCACAAGCGUCCCAUCAGACAUGAUGAGGCACUGGAGGGCAGGGAGGACCUCACUCUCUAUGCCUGUGUCCUCGGCGGUAGUGACAACAUGGGCUCCCUCUGUCCCUUUCACUGCCUCUGAGGGACAAGGAUCACAUAGCUGCAGUGUCCACAGGAAGAUUAAAAACUGAGUCUGUGUGUCAGGACAUCGUGGUCCCUGUGGGAGCUGGGUGGACUCCCUGCCUGACCACAGGGCCCUCUGCCUCUAUUCACUGGAGCCCAUGAGGUUUCCUUUUUUUUGGACAGGGGAUUGAACCCAGGGGAUCUUAACCACUGAGCCACCCAUCCACCUAUCCAGCCGUUUUGAUUUGAUUUGAUUUUUUAUUUAGAGACAAGGUCUCACUAAGUUGCUGAGGUUGGCCUUAAAUUUGUGAUCCUCCUCCCCCCAGCCUCCUGAGUCACUAGAUUUACAGCUGUGCAUCGGCAUACCCAGCUAGGACCAUGCUGUUUUGACUGUGGAGUUGGGAUGUCAGACCCGAGAGCCUAGGAGGCUCCUCUUUCUGCCUCCCCUCCCCUCUUGGAGCAUACUGCUUGUCUUAUUUGCCACCAUUUUUUUUGUAAAAAUGUUUGAACAAAUGGAAACAUUGAGAGUGAGCACCCAGACACUCAUCCCUGGUUUCUACGGCUCACAUGGACUUCUGUUUACUUUUUUGCACAUCUAGCCAUAUAUCUCCAUGAUGGCCCACCUCUUUUUUUUUUUUUUGGCAGUGCUGGAGGUCAAUCCUGGAGCCUCAUACUUCCUAGACAACUGCUCUAUGGCUGAGUUACACCAUGCCCACCCGCCACGUUCUUUAUACUAAACCACUUGCUUGGAUUUUAAAAAUUUAAUUGUGUUAAAAUACAUUUAACAAAAUUCA